RNAcentral lists this ribosomal RNA (189 nucleotides) under uncultured bacterium. RNAcentral describes it as "partial 16S ribosomal RNA". It matches the Rfam family "Bacterial small subunit ribosomal RNA", at positions 338 to 524 of the family's 1533-position model. The record is from RNAcentral.
CCUACGGGAGGCAGCAGUGAGGAAUAUUGGUCAAUGGCCGGAAGGCUGAACCAGCCAUGCCGCGUGCAGGAAUGAGGCCCUAUGGGUCGUAAACUGCUUUUGUGGUGGAGCAAUAAGGUCUACGUGUAGGCCGAUGAGAGUACAUCACGAAUAAGCAUCGGCUAACUCCGUGCCAGCAGCCGCGGUAAU